Molecule: ribosomal RNA, 521 nt
Filed under: uncultured bacterium
Lineage: Bacteria
Description: partial 16S ribosomal RNA
Rfam family: Bacterial small subunit ribosomal RNA
Source: RNAcentral
AAUGAACGCUGGCGGCGUGCUUAACACAUGCAAGUCGUACGAGAAACCCGGGCUUGCCGGGGGAGUAAAGUGGCGCACGGGUGAGUAACGCGUGGGUAAUCUACCCUCGAAUUGGGGAUAACACACCGAAAGGUGUGCUAAUACCGAAUAAGACCACGACCUCCACGGGGGUUGCGGUCAAAGAUGGCCUCUGCUUGCAAGCUGUCGUUUGAGGAUGAGCCCGCGUACCAUUAGCUUGUUGGUGGGGUAAUGGCCUACCAAGGGAAAGAUGGUUAGCUGGUCUGAGAGGAUGGCCGGCCACACUGGAACUGGAACACGGUCCAGACUCCUACGGGAGGCAGCGGUGAGGAAUUUUGCGCAAUGGGGGAAACCCUGACGCAGCAACGCCGCGUGAGUGAAGAAGGCCUUCGGGUUGUAAAGCUCUGUCAAGUGGGAAGAACCUUUUUCGGCCGAAUACGCCGAGAAACUGACGGUACUGCUGAAGGAAGCACCGGCUAACUCCGUGCCAGCCGCCGCCGUAA